Molecule: ribosomal RNA, 402 nt
Filed under: uncultured archaeon
Lineage: Archaea
Description: bacterial SSU rRNA
Rfam family: Archaeal small subunit ribosomal RNA
Source: RNAcentral
ACUGCUCAGUAACACGUGGAUAACCUACCCUUAGGACUGGUAUAACCCCGGGAAACUGGGGACAAUCCCAGAUAUGUGAAGAUUCCUGGAAUGGUCCUUCACUCAAAUGCUCCGGCGCCUAAGGAUGGAUCUGCGGCCGAUUAGGUUGUUGGUGGGGUAAAGGCCCACCAAGCCGAUAAUCGGUACGGGUUGUGAGAGCAAGAGCCCGGAGAUGGAACCUGAGACAAGGUUCCAGGCCCUACGGGGUGCAGCAGGCGCGAAAACUUUACAAUGCUGGCAACAGCGAUAAGGGAACCUCGAGUGCCAGGUUACAAAUCUGGCUGUCGAGAUGCCUAAAAAGCAUUUCAUAGCAAGGGCCGGGCAAGACCGGUGCCAGCAGCCGCGGUAAUACGAUCCCCCCGU